GAUGAACGCUGGCGGCGUGCCUAAUACAUGCAAGUCGAGCGAACGGACGAUAAGCUUGCGGCGCGGAUGUUAGCGGCGGACGGGUGAGUAACACGUGUAUACCCUACCUAUAAUACUGGUAUAACUUCGGAAAACCGGAUCUAAUACCGGAUGAUAUUUUGAACCGCAUGGGUCGAUAGUGAGAGACGGUGUUGCUGUCACGUAUAGAUGGAUCCGCGCUGCAUUAGCUGGUUGUUAAGUUAACGGCUUACCAAGGCAACGAUGCAUAGCCGACGUGAGAGACGGAUAGGCCACCUGGGAGCUGAGCCAGGGACAAGAGUCCUACGGGAGGCAGCAGUCGGCAACCUUAGGCAAUGGGCGAGAGCAUGACGGAGCAACGCCGAGUGAGUGAUGAAGAUCUUCGGAUCGUAAAAAUCUGUUAUUAGGGAAGAACAUAUGUGUACGUAGAUGUGCCGAUAGUGACGGUACCUAAUAAGAAAGCAACGGCUAACUACGUG
Molecule: ribosomal RNA, 497 nt
Filed under: uncultured bacterium
Lineage: Bacteria
Description: partial 16S ribosomal RNA
Rfam family: Bacterial small subunit ribosomal RNA
Source: RNAcentral